This 68-nucleotide transfer RNA is filed under the name Lysobacter soli. RNAcentral describes it as "tRNA-Leu". It matches the Rfam family "tRNA". From Rfam's summary of the family: Transfer RNA (tRNA) molecules are approximately 80 nucleotides in length. Their secondary structure includes four short double-helical elements and three loops (D, anti-codon, and T loops). Further hydrogen bonds mediate the characteristic L-shaped molecular structure. tRNAs have two regions of fundamental functional importance: the anti-codon, which is responsible for specific mRNA codon recognition, and the 3' end, to which the tRNAs corresponding amino acid is attached (by aminoacyl-tRNA synthetases). tRNAs cope with the degeneracy of the genetic code in two manners: having more than one tRNA (with a specific anti-codon) for a particular amino acid; and 'wobble' base-pairing, i.e. permitting non-standard base-pairing at the 3rd anti-codon position. Lineage: Bacteria; Pseudomonadati; Pseudomonadota; Gammaproteobacteria; Lysobacterales; Lysobacteraceae. The record is from RNAcentral.
UGGAUAGCUCAGUUGGUUAGAGCAUCAGGUCCAAAGCCUGAGAGUCGCGGGUUCGAUUCCCGCUCCAA